This 200-nucleotide unclassified non-coding RNA is filed under the name Saccharomycetales sp. RNAcentral's name for it is "partial internal transcribed spacer 2". Lineage: Eukaryota; Fungi; Ascomycota; Saccharomycetes; Saccharomycetales. The record is from RNAcentral.
UUAAGUUCAGCGGGUAAUCUUGCUUGAUUUGAGGUCAAACUUUAAAAGUUUUGGUUAUAACGCCAAAGCUAUAUCCAAAAGAACCUUUCCAUUAAAGCCAACGAGUUGGUAAAACCUAUUACGUUGUAGAAAAAAGCUCCAUGACUGGAUUCGCUUGUGCCAUAUUCAUUUCAAGUCAUUCUUCGGAAAGAAAUAAGACU